Molecule: ribosomal RNA, 704 nt
Filed under: Streptomyces sp.
Lineage: Bacteria; Bacillati; Actinomycetota; Actinomycetes; Kitasatosporales; Streptomycetaceae
Description: bacterial SSU rRNA
Rfam family: Bacterial small subunit ribosomal RNA
Source: RNAcentral
CACAUGCAGUCGAACGAUGAACCACUUUCCGGUGGGGAUUAGUGGCGAACGGGUGAGUAACACGUGGGCAAUCUGCCCUGCACUCUGGGACAAGCCCUGGAAACGGGGUCUAAUACCGGAUACUGACCUUCACAGGCAUCUGUGAUGGUCGAAAGCUCCGGCGGUGCAGGAUGAGCCCGCGGCCUAUCAGCUUGUUGGUGAGGUAGUGGCUCACCAAGGCGACGACGGGUAGCCGGCCUGAGAGGGCGACCGGCCACACUGGGACUGAGACACGGCCCAGACUCCUACGGGAGGCAGCAGUGGGGAAUAUUGCACAAUGGGCGAAAGCCUGAUGCAGCGACGCCGCGUGAGGGAUGACGGCCUUCGGGUUGUAAACCUCUUUCAGCAGGGAAGAAGCGAAAGUGACGGUACCUGCAGAAGAAGCGCCGGCUAACUACGUGCCAGCAGCCGCGGUAAUACGUAGGGCGCGAGCGUUGUCCGGAAUUAUUGGGCGUAAAGAGCUCGUAGGCGGCUUGUCACGUCGGUUGUGAAAGCCCGGGGCUUAACCCCGGGUCUGCAGUCGAUACGGGCAGGCUAGAGUUCGGUAGGGGAGAUCGGAAUUCCUGGUGUAGCGGUGAAAUGCGCAGAUAUCAGGAGGAACACCGGUGGCGAAGGCGGAUCUCUGGGCCGAUACUGACGCUGAGGAGCGAAAGCGUGGGGAGCGA